CACACUCUAUGUGGGGCUGCCUUUGAAAAUGAUUCGGAAAUUGCAAUUGGUUCAAAAUGCAGCAGCCAGAAUGUUAACUGGAGCACAGCGCAGGGAACAUAUCAUUCCUGUGCUUUAUCGACUCCACUGGCUCCCAAUUUGUGUCCGGGCCCAAUUCAAAGUGCUGGUUCUGACCUUUAAAGCCUUAAACAGCCUUGGACCAAUAUACCUGAGGAACCGCUUACGCCCAUAUGUACCUGCCCGGGAUUUAAGAUCAUCUGCCUCUGGUCUCCUCUGCAUGCCUGGAAUAAAAUGUUAAACUGACAGGCAUGCGGGAGAGAGCUUUUUCAGCUGUGUCCCUCAAGCUUUGGAAUAUCCUACCCCAAAAAGUCUGCUCUGCUCCCUCCCUGUUGGUUUUCCGGAGACUUCUGAAACUGAUCUUGUUCUGGAGAGCCUUUGGGAGGGACUGACUGAAGAGUUAUACCGUACUCCAGUUCUUAAUUUUACUUUCCUGUUGAAGAUGCCGCCUUUGCUCCCAUAUUGCAGAAUCCAGCAGUGUGGUCUAUCACAACCUGCCACACAGCAAGGCAUCAAGGCCUAAUAUGUUGAUAUGCUGCUUCCAUGGGUAGAAACCACUCUCCAGCUGAAAGUUUCUUUGAGAGGAUCCUGGCACUGUCAUCUAUCCCUUUUUGUGUCCCAGUACUGGGUGCAAUGAAAAAAAAUCUGAAGGUCAUCUUCACUGGGAGGAGGUCAUAAUACAUACUAUUUUGUAUUUUAAACAAAGUAAGACUGAGCAAAGUAUUGCCAUGUAUUCCUCUACACAAAGAAACAAAAAUCUCUGACAAAGAAACAGAUUUUUCUUGAAUUUAAAAAAGAGCAUUAUUUUAAGCAGACUUGACUUGGCUGCAAGUAGACUAAUGCAUAUCAAGGCAAACUGGUGGUGCCAGCUCCCUAACUGCUUAGAGCUCAAGUAUAAAAGUUGGCAGAAGGAAUAUCAUUUUUGAGUUCUCUUGGGUUGGCUUCCUAUUCAAAGCUGUAGAUGCUUCUCCAUUCGCUCCCUCAGUUUGUAUUUCUGAAUCUAAGAUUGGAAUAUGGAGGAAAGAAGAGAGGAAUUAAUUCUGAAUGUGUAUAUAAUUAGGGACUGAACCUAUAAGACAAAGUAGCUCAUCUUUCUUCCCACGCCCUCCUUUCCUCAUAUGCUGUCCAUAUCCAUUGACAUGUUGCUAUCCAUCCUGUAAUGCACAUAGACUUGACUUUAUCUUUGACUCCUCUCUCAUAUUUUAUUCAUACCCAGUUCAUUGCCAAGUUGUAUUGCUUCUCCCUUUACAACACUGCUAAAAUACCAUCCUUCCUCUAUGCAAAAAGUUUGGUCCAUGCCUGUGGUCAUCUCUCAUCUAUGCUACUAUUGCAACCUUCUUUCUAGUUCUAUGUUGUCUCAUUUUGGACCUCUCACCUCUACCCAACACUCUGCUGCCAAAAUCAUUCACCUGUCUCUCUCAUUGCUCUGAUGACACGAUGACACUCCUAAUGCCCCUGCACUGACUUCCUGUCUACGCCUGGAUUCAACACAAGCUUCUUGCCCUUUCCUUCAAAACUCUCCAUGCCCUUACCUCUCUGCCUUUAUAUCCUAAUAUGUCUCCCAUCUAUUAUCUUUAUUCUCCAAGCUCCACCAUGUCCCACUGUCUAAAGGUCUCAAGCUCCCUUAAAAGACUCCAUAACCUUUCUUACUUGGUGCCCUGUAUGCUUGGAACUGCCUGCUAGAACAUCUGCAUGAUGCCACAUCUCUUACGUCUUUAAACCCACUUUUGGCCCACCCCCUCUAGUUCCAUGGCCAACAGUAACUCAAGCCUAAUCACCUGUAAUUGAAGCAAUCACAUUCUCUUUCCCUGUUUACACUACCUUCUCUUUCCUUCCUUUGUUGUUUCCACUGUGUCAGAUUUUAGGCCACACGUUCCUUGACUCAGGGAUCUGUCUUGUACUCUGUGAAGCACUAUGCAACCUAAUGGGGCUAAAGAAGAAGGAACACUUGGACUUCUAACACUCACCUUGCCUGAGACAGUGAGUGGAAAAUCCUUCACAAACACUAUGUACCGAGGGAUCUUGAAAUGUGCAAUCUGAAAAAGAAAAUCCAAUAGCUAGGAAGUGACAGAAUCCCCUAUAUGGCUUGCUUCUCGUUCCCUGCUUGAGCAGAGCUCAAAGUAAGUGCCUCUCAAGCCUGGAGUACAAAAUUACAUCCGAUCUAAAGCCAUAAAUCCAACUAAUGUCAGACAGAGGGAACUUCCACACCAGACAUUUAGUAUGGAACUGCCAUGCUUUAUUCACUCACUUUAUGAGGCAUCCACAUGAUGCUGUCAUCCAAUCACUGCCAUCCUGUGUUUUCCCCAUGGUCUUUCCAUCUUUCCUCACACCACAGAAAAUCAACUUUUUUCAGAAAUACAGAAGAGUAGCACAAACUCUACAAGGGUACUUUCAGCACUACUAUCCACUGCUUAUAGUGGAUGUGUGCUGAGGUUCAAAUGACUCUACCCCCAGCAACUAUGUCAUGCCCACACAUAGGAAUGGAACAUGGUGGAAUGUACACAUAGGAAAAGGGCAAUACUCCUAACAAUUUGGAACAUCAACUGCAAUUCUGCUUGUAGCUUACAAUGGAAGAGGAAUGAUUAGGUUAAGCUAGGAACCGCCCAUUUUGAAGCAGCCCAGUGUUGAUAAACUGCCUCUUAUAGAACCUCAACUCUCACCAUUCGAGAGUUGCCUCUUUCUUUUCAUUGGAAAAGCAGGAUGCAUCCUUCUAUUGAGGGUCCUACCUUCCCUUUGCAAAAUGCCUUGACUUCCUCUACUGUGCACUCUUCUCCAGCUUUCACUCUGAUGGUGGCACAGAUCUCCUCUCCCAUUCGCUUAUCUUUCACACCAACUACCUGAGCGGGAGAGAAGGAACAAGCUGAUCUUUGGGGCAGUGCAACUGAUUAGGGUCCUUUUCUUGACACUCAUCAAUCUCUUAUUUCCCUAAAUGGCACCGGGACCACACAGGGUUGUAUCAUAGGCCAAGACACAUUUAGCCUUAAGCAUUCAGCCAGACUACAGCAACUGAUGGUUCACCAUGUCCUACUUCACCAUUCGUCUCACCUGCACCUCUUGAAUCUUAGGAUGGGUAUGUAGGAAUUGUUCAAGCUCUGCUGGAUAUAUGUUCUCCCCUCCUCGGAUAAUCAUGUCUUUGCAACGACCUACAAUCUUGCAGUAGCCGUACUCGUCAAGAACAGCAAUGUCCCUGGAAUGAUAUCACAGUCAUCCACCCUGAUCCAGCCAUCCUGCUAGACUUCCCACUUCGAUGAUCAGUGUCCUGAUAUUUUGCAAAUAGUUCUCUGUACUAACAAAAUACUCAAUUCUGCAAUGUGGUAAGAUGUGACAUAGUAAGAUAUCCUAUGCUAGGGAACUAAGAAAGUGUGUGGUGGCUCCUCCUCCAUAGUGCUAUCUAUCUCAUGGUGGUGGCAGAAGCAGCACAUGAUUGGAUAAUAAGCAGCUAUGUGGGUAGGGUUGAUUGCAUGUUUUCCCCAACAGAUUACCAUCCCAUCAAGAGGGUUGUGAUCAGGUGGGAAAGCCACAAGACUAGCGCCAUCCACAAGCUGCUGGUAUUCACAUGUGUACUAAAGUCAUAUGGGAUACCUCCCACAGAGCCCCAUGUCUGUGUAUGAAACACAUCUGCCAGGUUUGGGUAGGACUUAAGCCUAGCACAGGCAUCUCACUGGCCUGCCAUCUGGAGAAACUACCUAAUCCCACUAUCUCAUAUUCAGCUCUAUACAAAUUUUAUGUGCUAGGUUAUUUUUAUGCUCAUUUCUCCAGUUAGGGGGACUGAAGUGGAGAAAUACUGACUUCCUCAAGAACAUUUACUGAACUUACAGUUCUGAUGGAAUUCUCCAUCCAGCACUCUACCCACUAAAUCAGGCUGGCUUCCCAAAGAUUAUCUAAUAAAUAAAUGGGUUCGUCCCCAA
This is a long non-coding RNA of Rhineura floridana, 3965 nucleotides long. RefSeq lists it as uncharacterized. The transcript has 4 exons. The record is from RefSeq and is a predicted model, not a curated record. NCBI's taxonomy places the organism in Eukaryota, Metazoa, Chordata, Lepidosauria, Squamata, Rhineuridae.